GACGAACGCUGGCGGCGUGGAUUAGGCAUGCAAGUCGGACGGUAGGGCUUUAUCGUAAGAUAGAGUUUGAGAGUGGCGAACGGGUGAGUAACACGUAGGAAUCUACCCUUAAGACGGGGACAACCCAGGGAAACUUGGGCUAAUACCGGAUGAGAGUGCGAGAGAUUGCAUUUAAAAGGAUGGCGAAAGUUGUCGCUUAGGGAUGAGCCUGCGGUCUAUUAGUUAGUUGGUGAGGUAAGAGCUCACCAAGGCGAUGAUAGAUAGGCGGCCUUAACGGGUGGUCGCCCACACUGGGAUUGAGAUACGGCCCAGACUCCUACGGGAGGCAGCAGUCGAGAAUAGUCUACAAUGGCCGGAAGGCUGAUAGUGCGACGCCGCGUGAACGAAGAAUCCCUUCGGGGUGUAAAGUUCUUUUAUACGUGAGCAGUGCCCUUUAUAUGAAUAGUAUAGAGGGAGGGAUUUAAGCGUAUGAAUAAGCAACGGCUAACUCCGUG
Molecule: ribosomal RNA, 494 nt
Filed under: uncultured bacterium
Lineage: Bacteria
Description: bacterial SSU rRNA
Rfam family: Bacterial small subunit ribosomal RNA
Source: RNAcentral